GCGGGGAUGAGGUGUGGGUAGGGGUGAAAUGCCAAUCGAACCUGGAGAUAGCUGGUUCUCUCCGAAAUAGCUUUAGGGCUAGCCUCAAGGUAAGAGUCUCGGAGGUAGAGCACUGAUUGGACUAGGGGCCCCUACCGGGUUACCGAAUUCAGUCAAACUCCGAAUGCCGAUGACUUAUCCUUGGGAGUCAGACUGCGAGUGAUAAGAUCCGUAGUCGAAAGGGAAACAGCCCAGACCGCCAGCUAAGGUCCCAAAG
Molecule: ribosomal RNA, 256 nt
Filed under: Bacillus amyloliquefaciens
Lineage: Bacteria; Bacillati; Bacillota; Bacilli; Caryophanales; Bacillaceae
Description: partial 23S ribosomal RNA
Rfam family: Bacterial large subunit ribosomal RNA
Source: RNAcentral